GUUUUGGUUGGUGUUGGUGAUGGUGAUGGACCUUGGGAUAAUAUGAAGAAAUUCGAUGAUAUGAUUCCGUCGCGUGACGUCGACAACUUCCAGUUUGUUAACUUCACUGGGAUUAUGACAAAGAAAUCAAGUCAAAAGAGAAGGAAACUGCCUUUGCUCUUGCUGCUCUCAUGGAGAUCCCUUACAGUACACAGCAUACAUGGAACUUGGCAUUCUUGGACAACGGACCGGAAAAGCGAAGAAAGUAGUUCCACGGCCUCCUCCGGUUUCCUACCGUAGACCUGCUCUGCCUGAACGCUACCAAGCAAUGCCUCGGCAUCACCGGCGAUUGCAUCAGAUGAUCAGCAGUCUGUAUGCCCAAUAUGCCUUACGAAUACAAAGGACUUGGCCUUUAAUUGUGGGCAUAUGG
Hibiscus syriacus is the source of this 409-nucleotide long non-coding RNA. RefSeq lists it as uncharacterized. NCBI's taxonomy places the organism in Eukaryota, Viridiplantae, Streptophyta, Magnoliopsida, Malvales, Malvaceae. The record is from RefSeq and is a predicted model, not a curated record. The transcript is spliced from 4 exons.